GACGAACGCUGGCGGCGUGCUUAACACAUGCAAGUCGAACGGUAAGGCCCUUCGGGGUACACGAGUGGCGAACGGGUGAGUAACACGUGGGUGAUCUGCCCUGCACUUCGGGAUAAGCCUGGGAAACUGGGUCUAAUACCGGAUAGGACCCUGGGAUGCAUGUCCUGGGGUGGAAAGCUUUUGCGGUGUGGGAUGGGCCCGCGGCCUAUCAGCUUGUUGGUGGGGUGAUGGCCUACCAAGGCGACGACGGGUAGCCGGCCUGAGAGGGUGACCGGCCACACUGGGACUGAGAUACGGCCCAGACGCCGACGGGAGGCAGCAGUGGGGAAGAUUGCACAAUGGGCGCAAGCCUGAUGCAGCGACGCCGCGUGAGGGAUGACGGCCUUCGGGUUGUAAACCUCUUUCAGCACCGACGAAGCGCAAGUGACGGUAGGUGCAGAAGAAGGACCGGCCAACUACGUGCCAGCCGCCGCCGUAA
Molecule: ribosomal RNA, 478 nt
Filed under: uncultured bacterium
Lineage: Bacteria
Description: partial 16S ribosomal RNA
Rfam family: Bacterial small subunit ribosomal RNA
Source: RNAcentral